AGCAGUGGGGAAUAUUGCGCAAUGGGCGAAAGCCUGACGCAGCCAUGCCGCGUGGAUGAAGAAGGCCCUAGGGUUGUAAAGUCCUUUCGACGGGGAAGAUGAUGACGGUACCCGUAGAAGAAGCUCCGGCUAACUUCGUGCCAGCAGCCGCGGUAAUACGGAGGGGGUUAGCGUUGUUCGGAAUUACUGGGCGUAAAGCGCGCGUAGGCGGACAUUUAAGUCAGAGGUGAAAUCCCAGGGCUCAACCCUGGAACUGCCUUUGAUACUGGGUGUCUUGAGUUCGAGAGAGGUGAGUGGAAUUCCGAGUGUAGAGGUGAAAUUCGUAGAUAUUCGGAGGAACACCAGUGGCGAAGGCGGCUCACUGGCUCGAUACUGACGCUGAGGUGCGAAAGUGUGGGGAGCAAACAGGAUUAGAUACCCUGGUAGUCCACACCGUAAACGAUGAAUGCCAGUCGUCGGGCAGUAUACUGUUCGGUGACACACCUAACGGAUUAAGCAUUCCGCCUGGGGAGUACGGUCGCAAGAUUA
This 528-nucleotide ribosomal RNA is filed under the name uncultured Alphaproteobacteria bacterium. RNAcentral describes it as "bacterial SSU rRNA". It matches the Rfam family "Bacterial small subunit ribosomal RNA", at positions 350 to 896 of the family's 1533-position model. The record is from RNAcentral. Lineage: Bacteria; Pseudomonadati; Pseudomonadota; Alphaproteobacteria.